RNAcentral lists this transfer RNA (66 nucleotides) under Somena scintillans. RNAcentral's name for it is "tRNA-Tyr". It matches the Rfam family "tRNA". From Rfam's summary of the family: Transfer RNA (tRNA) molecules are approximately 80 nucleotides in length. Their secondary structure includes four short double-helical elements and three loops (D, anti-codon, and T loops). Lineage: Eukaryota; Metazoa; Arthropoda; Insecta; Lepidoptera; Erebidae. The record is from RNAcentral.
AAUAAAAUGGCUGAUAAAAGCGAUAAAUUGUAAAUUUAUAUAUAGGAUAAAUUAUCCUUUUUAUUA